GUGCUCCCUUUGGAAGCCUGUAUGCUAAAUAUGGAAUGAUACAGAGAGUGUUAGCAUGGCCCCUCUGCAAGGGUGACACACAAAGCUGUGAAGAGUUCCAAGUGAUA
This 107-nucleotide small nuclear RNA is filed under the name Merops nubicus (carmine bee-eater). The record is from RNAcentral. Lineage: Eukaryota; Metazoa; Chordata; Aves; Coraciiformes; Meropidae.